UAAAAAAGCAACAGCCCCACGACCAAGGGCCUGCACCCUUUGCAGAGAAUGCAUUCGAGAGGAAGGAUGGGACGAAAAGAUUGCCCUGCGACGGAAGAAAGAUCAUUUUAUAUGUAAGUUUUGCUCAUCCAAUGAUAAAAUGUUAUGUGCUUUGAAAAUGUUGCUUCCUGUUAUUUUUCUAAUGCUUCUUCAUUCAGUAACUUCCUUUGUGUACCGAAAAAUCUUGUACUCCACUCCGUAUAUAGUUGGAGCUACAGGUUUCAUCUUUGUGUCUUUUACUUCUCGGUGAAGUGUUUUUUCGAGGGGUACUGUUUUAGUUUGAGAAUUUACGAUAUGAAAAGUUCAAAGUUCACAUCCCGUUGUAGAGGGAAUUGCAUUGUCUUUCACGGGAUCAUACUGAAGCUCUUAGUCAGUUUGUCAAGACAAGAAAUUUCUCGGGAUUCUUUCAAAAGGCUUAUCUGGUUGAAGAUUUUUCUGUGAAUGAAGAAGUAAUGGAGCGGUCAAAUACGCUUCGAGAGAGGAGAUCAACUUGAGGGAUUUGCUGAGGAAAUUGAGAGGUAAGAGAUCCAUUAAGGUGCCUGUAAUAAGUAACAAGAAUGCAGCCACUCCUGAUGAUUUUUUCAUGGAGAAAGUAUGGGCAGAAACCAAUCUAGGGGCCACCCCAUCCAAGGUAGACUUAUUUUGAGCACUUUCCAUGUGUAUAUGUUUGUUCCAACUUGCUCAAUUAAUAGUCAGUAAAGUUUAAAUAGUUUUCUAACUUUGAUCUUAGUUCCUAAUUGUAUUUUCAUCCUUGCUCCCCUGAUUUGCCUGAAGAAGUAAGUCUGAUUGCUAUAUUUGUUUAAUAGGCCCUCAAAUCUGCUGAGUUCUGACGUUUUGUCCUUAAUAAAGUAAGGAUAAAUUGUUUUUUAUCAUCUAAAAGUCAAAAAUUAUUUUCUACCACCUAAAAAACUAAUACUUGCAUUUUACCACCUAAAGAAAAUUUGAAACUUGUUUUUUACCACCUGAAAUAUGGAAAAAUAGAUGGAAAUGUUAUGUGCGGGGCCACAAUAACGGUAAUAUUUCUAAUAUGUUCUCUUCGAUCUUCAACAAUUUCAUGUAUUUAACCCUCGCUUCUUUAUCGUCCAUGAAUUUACAUAAAUUUUCACAACUAUUAUUUCACAUAAUUGACAAAAUUUAAUGGAAAUAAAGAAAGAAAGGUGAAAGAGUUAAAGAAAAAUCACACAAGGAUUGUAAAAAAUUGGAAGGAAAUUGAACUACGUAGCCACUUUUUCCAUUUUUAGGCGGUGAAAAACAAUUUUUAAUUUUUUUUGGGGUAAAAUAAAAGUUUGCCACACUUUGUUAAAAGCCGUAUAGCCCAACCCCAACCCAACGCAGCGAACUCAGUUGCCGGAGUAGAGAUUUUAAUUGGAACCUCCUCUCUGAUUUCGCGAACCAAAAACUAUGGUAAGCAAUUGUCUGCUUCAAUUACUUCGAAAUUACAACCAAAAUUCACAUCAACUUAUUGUUUUAGGGCAGUUUCCAUCAAAUUAGAAGUUCUGACAAUUUUUUGGGUAUUUAUCAGGACAUUUUUAGGAAAGCCUUGUUAAAUUUGGAGCCCCCGGGAAAAAUUGCUCUUCAAACUGUUCAGGGAGCCAUUAAACCCCAGGUGAUUUAUUUCCCCACAUUAUUCAAUUGCAUUUCUUGUUAACAGGGUUAUUAUUUCUGCAACUUUCGAUUUAUUUCCAUAGAAAUACUUUUUGGAGCAUUGUAUUAUCUAUGUGUUUUAAUGGGCAAUUUCAUACUUUCUGCGAAUCGUGUAGAUCAGCUUUUUUUUUACUUCAAUUGAUGAAAAAAGGGAAAAAAAAUGCAAAAAUGUUAUUUGGUUCCUGCUGUAUGUAACUGGCAAUGAUUUAGUUUAUAUCCAUUAAGCUAAUUAGAAUUUCUAUUUUUUAAAAUAAAUUUAUGAUCUUGGUGGAAUUUGGCGAAGUACUAGCUUUUCGGCAUGUUGCAUUUAUAAAAUAUAUAUACUCCCACUGUUCUAAGAGAAUAGUCACCUGUGGUAGUUUAGGAUGGAAGAAGUCACUUUUCCCAGUGUAGUGUUGGCUUAUGAUUUAUUUUACAAUACGCCACUACUUGUACGAGUGACGGGGAGAUGAUGGAAAUGGUUCAACUAUUUCCGGAUGGAGGGAUUAUUUUUAGAUUGUUAAGGAGACCUCCCUAUAAGGAUAUGAGAGCAACUUAAUAUUCAUCUCCUUUGUAAUAUAUCUGAAGUUCUGAACAAUACACUAACUAUUAUCUGCGAUAGAUAGUGCUUGCAUAAAACGUUGAAAAAAAUAUGUUGUUUGAAUUUGUUGUUCUCAUUUUCCGUUUAUUUAUUGAAUCUCUGAUUUAUUUGUUGAUUUUAGUACUUCAGUAUCCCCAUAUCUGAAUUCAUUAUUUUGUAAUAUGGAAACUUAAUUUCUUCAUUGUUUCCACUGCCAAUGUCUUUAUUUGUUCGUCUUUAUGGUAAAAUCGUACCAGCGCGUCUCCUGUGAGACCAGUCACACCAUCAACUUGAUGGUGUGACGAGCGCGAAACCAAUAGCGUACCUCCCCUAAAACUAUAAAAAAAAGUAACAGAUCUAAACUAUAGCCGUAAAAUACCUAAAUUAAAAAAGUACCUCCUCUAAAAUUAUAUAUAUAUAAAAAAAGUAACAUGUAUAAACUAUAUAAGUAACAUACCUAAACUAAAAAUGUACCUCCCCUAAAACUAUUUCGUAUAAAAUAAAAGUAACAUGUCUAAACUAUAGAAGUAACAUACCUAAACUAAAAAAGUAACUCAUUUAAAAUUAUAAAAAAAAAGUAACAUGCCUAAAUUAUAGAAGUAACAUACCUAAACUAAAAAAAAUACCUCCUCUAAAAUUAUUAAAAAAAAAGUAACAUGUCUAAACUAUAGAAGUAACAUACUUAACUAAGAAGGUAUCUCUCCUAAAACUAGUCCGUAUAAAAAAAAGUAACAUGUAUAAACUAUAGAAGUAACAUACCUAAACUAAAAAAAGUACCUUCUCUUAAGUUAUAAAAAAAGUAACAUGUCUAAACUAUAGAAGUAACAUAACUAAACUAAGAAGGUAUCUCCCCUAAAACUACUCCGUAUAAAAAAAAGUAACAUGUAUGAACUAUAAAAGUAACAUACCUAAACUAAAAAAAAUACCUCCUCUAAAAUUAUAAAAAACAGUAAUAUAUCUAAACUAUAGAAGUAACAUACCUAAAUUCGCAAAUGUGAACUGGUCUCACCAUCAGUUAAUGGUGAGGACAGUCUCAUAUAAGAAUUUGGGAAAUCGUACAGUGAUUUGAACGAGUAUUAAAUUAAAAUAUGCAGGCUAGAAAUUAGAAGUAGUAUACUGGGAAGGUGUCUAUAUAUUCUUCUUAUUUGGCUUUUAGAGGAACAUAGAAAUGGUUAUACAUUUAUAAAGUGUCUUUUCGUUAUUCUUCUUUAUGCCCAUUAAUUAAGUUAAAAUAGUUCAACAUUAUAUGUUUGAUAGUGAUGUAGACAACUUUUUUUAAUGCUCACAGUUUACAAUAUACGGAGUACGUUUAACCCGAUGCUCGGGUUUUUUUGGAAACUGAUUAUGAUGUUUUAGAAUACUUGAUUGUAUAUUUUGAUCAUAAAUCAUAAAUACUUCUCGCGAUUUUUUGGUUGGUUUGCCUGAUAAUUUUUUUUCUAAUUUAUUUUAUUGUCUUACUACAGAAAUAGUUUUUUGUUUUUGGCAAAGUGAAGAAUUACAGUGUGCAGACUUGACAUGGUGAUCAAGAAGCGCCUGUCAUUUUUUGGUUUUUUUUAUCUUCUGUUUUAUGUAAUUGAAUGUUUGAUGUUAUAUGAAGUUGCUAAUUGUAAUAGAUUUUUUUAUUUUAAUGAAAGCUAAUUGUAUUGAUAGUAA
Molecule: long non-coding RNA, 3895 nt
Organism: Spinacia oleracea (spinach)
Lineage: Eukaryota; Viridiplantae; Streptophyta; Magnoliopsida; Caryophyllales; Amaranthaceae
Exons: 3
Source: RefSeq, a predicted model, not a curated record